RNAcentral lists this ribosomal RNA (468 nucleotides) under uncultured bacterium. Its description in RNAcentral is "partial 16S ribosomal RNA". It matches the Rfam family "Bacterial small subunit ribosomal RNA", at positions 28 to 507 of the family's 1533-position model. The record is from RNAcentral.
GACGAACGCUGGCGGCGUGCUUAACACAUGCAAGUCGAACGGAAAGGCCCUGCUUUUGUGGGGUGCUCGAGUGGCGAACGGGUGAGUAACACGUGAGUAACCUGCCCUUGACUCUGGGAUAACUUCAGGAAACUGGGGCUAAUACCGGAUAGGAGCUCCUGCUGCAUGGUGGGGGUUGGAAAGUUUCGGCGGUUGGGGAUGGACUCGCGGCUUAUCAGCUUGUUGGUGGGGUAGUGGCUUACCAAGGCUUUGACGGGUAGCCGGCCUGAGAAGGUGACCGGCCACAUUGGGACUGAGAUACGGCCCAGACUCCUACGGGAGGCAGCAGUGGGGAAUAUUGCACAAUGGGCGGAAGCCUGAUGCAGCAACGCCGCGUGCGGGAUGACGGCCUUCGGGUUGUAAACCGCUUUCGCCUGUGACGAAGCGUGAGUGACGGUAAUGGGUAAAGAAGCACCGGCUAACUACGUG